UUAGUAGAAGCCAAAAAGAGGCUUUUCAUUGUUAAUGAAAUUAUUGGAUAACUACCCUACUAAG
RNAcentral lists this transfer RNA (64 nucleotides) under Lynceus grossipedia. Its description in RNAcentral is "tRNA-Asn". Lineage: Eukaryota; Metazoa; Arthropoda; Branchiopoda; Diplostraca; Lynceidae. The record is from RNAcentral.